GAUGAACGCUGGCGGCGUGCCUAAUACAUGCAAGUCGAGCGAACAGAUAAGGAGCUUGCUCCUUUGACGUUAGCGGCGGACGGGUGAGUAACACGUGGGUAACCUACCUAUAAGACUGGAAUAACUCCGGGAAACCGGGGCUAAUGCCGGAUAACAUUUAGAACCGCAUGGUUCUAAAGUGAAAGAUGGUUUUGCUAUCACUUAUAGAUGGACCCGCGCCGUAUUAGCUAGUUGGUAAGGUAACGGCUUACCAAGGCAACGAUACGUAGCCGACCUGAGAGGGUGAUCGGCCACACUGGAACUGAGACACGGUCCAGACUCCUACGGGAGGCAGCAGUAGGGAAUCUUCCGCAAUGGGCGAAAGCCUGACGGAGCAACGCCGCGUGAGUGAUGAAGGUCUUCGGAUCGUAAAACUCUGUUAUUAGAGAAGAACAAAUGUGUAAGUAACUGUGCACGUCUUGACGGUACCUAAUCAGAAAGCCACGGCUAACUACGUG
Molecule: ribosomal RNA, 497 nt
Filed under: uncultured bacterium
Lineage: Bacteria
Description: partial 16S ribosomal RNA
Rfam family: Bacterial small subunit ribosomal RNA
Source: RNAcentral